GCCUAGGUGGUCUGGUGGUUAAGAUUGGGCACUGUCACUGCCACGGCCUGGGUUCAUUUCCCGGUCAGGGAA
Molecule: transfer RNA, 72 nt
Filed under: Equus caballus (horse)
Lineage: Eukaryota; Metazoa; Chordata; Mammalia; Perissodactyla; Equidae
Rfam family: tRNA
About the family: Transfer RNA (tRNA) molecules are approximately 80 nucleotides in length. Their secondary structure includes four short double-helical elements and three loops (D, anti-codon, and T loops).
Source: Rfam by way of RNAcentral